Molecule: long non-coding RNA, 455 nt
Filed under: Salmo salar (Atlantic salmon)
Lineage: Eukaryota; Metazoa; Chordata; Actinopteri; Salmoniformes; Salmonidae
Description: lncRNA (ENSSSAG00000115434.1)
Source: RNAcentral
UAGAGAGGCUAUAUACAGUAGAGAGGCUAUAUACAGUAGAGAGGCUAUAUACAGUAGAGAGGCUACAUACAGUAGAGAGGCUAUAUACAGUAGAGAGGCUAUAUACAGUAGAGAGGCUAUAUACAGUAGAGAGGCUAUAUACAGUAGAGAAGCUAUAUACAGUAGAGAGGCUAUAUACAGUAGAGAGGCUAUAUACAGUAGAGAGGCUAUAUACAGUAGAGAGGUUAUAUACAGUAGAGAGGCUAUAUACAGUAGAGAGGCUAUAUACAGUAGAGAGGCUAUAUACAGUAGAGAGGCUAUAUACAGUAGAGGUUAUAUACAGUAGAGAGGCUAUAUACAGUAGAGAGGCUACAUACAGUAGAGAGGCUACAUACAGUAGAGAGGCUAUAUACAGUAGAGAGGCUACAUACAGUAGAGAGGCUAUAUACAGUAGAGAGGCUAUAUACAGUAGAGAG